AAGGCAAUGUUGCAUACUAGAGGGAACAUCUAAUUCUUCUCCUUGCCAAUAUUCACAUUCAGAAAGCUAAUAAGCAGUCUGUCUUGAAGGAUCUUGCAGGCAAAGGACACCAAGUGAAUUAGAUAGAGAGGUUAAGAACUUGAGGGUGGCAUUUACUGACCUGUUUUUGAAGCAUAACACUUUCAAAGAAACUGCAAAA
Molecule: long non-coding RNA, 199 nt
Organism: Humulus lupulus (European hop)
Lineage: Eukaryota; Viridiplantae; Streptophyta; Magnoliopsida; Rosales; Cannabaceae
Exons: 2
Source: RefSeq, a predicted model, not a curated record